AGAAAUGUCCCCGAGACUUUGCUAAGAAGCAAUCUUUAUAGGAGCUGAUUGCAAGCUUUUCCCCCACCUAAGUCAUUCAACCCACCAAAUCAAACCCAAUGUCGAUUCUUUUGUGGAAAGACCAACAGAGGCAUUUGCUUUCAGAUAUCAAGGCUAGUAAUGCACCAGUUAUGCUGUACCAGUUGUUUGAUCAAACACUAGACACAUGAUGAAAACCUUCCACAGCUUAGCCUGGAAGCUCUGCUAAAACCUGAGACCCACGUGUGCUCUUGCUGGCACUUGAAGUACUGGUGGCAUGGCUUUCAGAAUUACAGCAGCAUGUGAAUCAGUACAGAUCA
This is a long non-coding RNA of Echinops telfairi (small Madagascar hedgehog), 338 nucleotides long. RefSeq lists it as uncharacterized. The record is from RefSeq and is a predicted model, not a curated record. The transcript has 3 exons. NCBI's taxonomy places the organism in Eukaryota, Metazoa, Chordata, Mammalia, Afrosoricida, Tenrecidae.